UCGUCAGCUGAGGGUUAACAAGGUCUAUCUGCUCUUUAACUAGUUCAGAGAAAUAGGCAAAUGAAAGUUUGUAUGCUCACAAAAGGAAUAGAAUACAAUUUAAUUUCAAAAUGUUUUGAUCUACUACAUACUAUACACUAGGUUGUUUAAUUACAGUUAUUUGUGCAUUGCUACCCAGCAUGAAUUAUGGGAAAUAGCGAUCCUACUUUUGGAGAUAGACCUUUGUGACUCUGAAUUUUUUGAAAAAUUAGAGUUACAAAGGUCUAUCUAAAAUUAGUUAAUUCUGAAUGUUUAAAAUUUUACCUCCAAGAUUAUUUUAACAAGUCUGCGCUCAUUUCAACAUUGGAAACAUCAAUUCAAAGUUUGAUAAUCUACUAUUCCAUUGAUUUCCUGGGUAGUUUCGGUACAAAUCUUACUACAUUCUAAAACUAUGAGGAUUAUAAAUAUAUUAAUAAUCUAAAAAAAGGUUGAUUAGUUUCUAUUUAGCUCUAAUUUAUACAUAAUUAUAUAUAUUUAAAAAAAUCAGUUAAAA
Non-coding RNA from Paramuricea clavata, 532 nucleotides. The record is from the annotation of a GenBank genome assembly. Lineage: Eukaryota; Metazoa; Cnidaria; Anthozoa; Malacalcyonacea; Plexauridae.